UGGGGAAUAUUGGGCAAUGGAGGAAACUCUGACCCAGCGACGCCGCGUGCGGGAUGAAGGCCUUCGGGUUGUAAACCGCUUUCAGUAGGGAAGAAGCGAAAGUGACGGUACCUACAGAAGAAGCACCGGCUAACUAUGUGCCAGCAGCCGCGGUAAUACAUAGGGUGCAAGCGUUGUCCGGAAUUAUUGGGCGUAAAGAGCUCGUAGGUGGUUUGAUACGUCGGGUGUGAAAUUCAGGGGCUCAACCCCUGACCUGCAUUCGAUACGGUCAAGCUAGAGUUUGGUAGGGGAGACUGGAAUUCCUGGUGUAGCGGUGGAAUGCGCAGAUAUCAGGAGGAACACCGAUGGCGAAGGCAGGUCUCUGGGCCAAUACUGACACUGAGGAGCGAAAGCGUGGGGAGCGAACA
RNAcentral lists this ribosomal RNA (407 nucleotides) under uncultured Actinomycetales bacterium. Its description in RNAcentral is "partial 16S ribosomal RNA". It matches the Rfam family "Bacterial small subunit ribosomal RNA", at positions 355 to 774 of the family's 1533-position model. Lineage: Bacteria; Bacillati; Actinomycetota; Actinomycetes; Actinomycetales. The record is from RNAcentral.